This 254-nucleotide ribosomal RNA is filed under the name uncultured bacterium. RNAcentral describes it as "partial 16S ribosomal RNA". It matches the Rfam family "Bacterial small subunit ribosomal RNA", at positions 524 to 776 of the family's 1533-position model. The record is from RNAcentral.
UACGUAGGGGGCUAGCGUUGUCCGGAAUCAUUGGGCGUAAAGCGCGUGUAGGCGGUCCGGUAAGUCCGCUGUGAAAGUCGGGGGCUCAACCCUCGGAUGCCGGUGGAUACUGUCGGGCUAGAGUACGGAAGAGGCGAGUGGAAUUCCUGGUGUAGCGGUGAAAUGCGCAGAUAUCAGGAGGAACACCGGUGGCGAAGGCGGUCUCUGGGCAGUGAACUGACGCUGAGGAGCGAAAGCGUGGGGAGCGAAACAGG